UCUAGCGCAUGCUUGCCAAGUCACACAGAUCUGUAGUGUGACACAUGUCUUCCAUUUUGAAUCACAUGGCCACACACAUAACUCUCUUGUUCACUGUGCUUUUUUGCAGGUUCUCUCUCUCUUGGCUUAAAGUGCCUGAACCACACACUGUGUGUACUACUGUAUGGUGUCUUUCUUCUUCUUCUCAUCCCUAAAGUGUUUAUUGAUUUUAAGAAUGAAAACAACACAGAGAGCAUGCCCUAGAGGUUACACUGAUGCAAAUGAUUCCUCUGGUUUCCAAGGUACACUAAAAUCUUCAUCAGACAUUGCAGAGAAGAUUAAUUAGUCUAUAACAGGGCUGACAAACUCCUGACCCACAGGCCAGAUGCGUCAUGCAGUGGCCAGACCCACGCCCGGUUUAGCAAAAGGGAAAAAAGUCUUUAUACAUCACAUGACGCCGCCAUGACGAUCUAUAAUAAAGGCAAAAUGGACUUUGAAAAAGCAAAAAUGGACUUUAAAGAAACAGGAUAGGAAAGGUACUGACAUUUCUAAACUUUUAGUGUUGGAGAAGACUCUUGAGCAUGCCUUGGAUAGCCAAGAAAGCCACCCAAUGUAUCAUCAAACAAAUCAAUCCAGAGUUUUCACUCGAGGCACAAAUGAUGAGGUUUAAAUUAUUCUACUGUGGACAUGUUAUGCAAGGACUUAACUUGGAGAAAGCUCUAAUGCUCAGAAAGCUGGAAGAAAAGAGAAGAAGAGGACAAUCAGCAGCAAGAUGGAUGGACUCAGUUAUAGGGGUAAUGAAUGCACCAUUGAAAAGACCUGAAAUACCAGUGCUGGAUGGAGUCACUGAAGAGGUCAGUGUGAGCUUAAAUGGACUCCAGAGGAUGGUAGAGGACAGGAAGGCCUGGAGAAACGUUGUCCAUGGGGUUGUGAUGGAUUGGACACAACUUCAUAACUAACAACAACAACAUUAGAGGUGGAGAUCCUUUGAGAGCUGUAUGCAACAAAAUUUCAUUUUAAUAUAUGCUGAUUAGUAUACAUUCAAAGUGACAAUAAAGUUAGUCUAAGUGUAAGUUUC
Non-coding RNA from Pantherophis guttatus, 1057 nucleotides. The record is from RefSeq and is a predicted model, not a curated record. Lineage: Eukaryota; Metazoa; Chordata; Lepidosauria; Squamata; Colubridae.